UGAGGAAUAUUGGUCAAUGGGCGGAAGCCUGAACCAGCCAUGCCGCGUGAAGGAAUAAGGCCCUAUGGGUCGUAAACUUCUUUUGUGGUGGAGCAAUAAGACGUACGUGUACGUCGAUGAGAUUACAUCAUGAAUAAGCAUCGGCUAACUCCGUGCCAGCAGCCGCGGUAAUACGGAGGAUGCAAGCGUUAUCCGGAUUUAUUGGGUUUAAAGGGUGCGUAGGCUGUUUGACAAGUCAGUGGUGAAAGCCCGGGGCUUAACUCCGGAAUUGCCGUUGAUACUGUUGAGCUGGAAUACGGAUGCCGUGGGAGGAAUGAGUAGUGUAGCGGUGAAAUGCAUAGAUAUUACUCAGAACACCGAUUGCGAAGGCAUCUCACGAAUCCGUCAUUGACGCUGAGGCACGAAAGCGUGGGGAUCAAACAGG
Molecule: ribosomal RNA, 424 nt
Filed under: uncultured bacterium
Lineage: Bacteria
Description: bacterial SSU rRNA
Rfam family: Bacterial small subunit ribosomal RNA
Source: RNAcentral